This 63-nucleotide transfer RNA is filed under the name Zyginella minuta. RNAcentral's name for it is "tRNA-Ile". The record is from RNAcentral. Lineage: Eukaryota; Metazoa; Arthropoda; Insecta; Hemiptera; Cicadellidae.
AAUAGAAUGCCUGAAUAAAGGAUUAUUUUGAUAGAAUAAAUUAUGUGUGUUACACUUCUAUUG